RNAcentral lists this long non-coding RNA (486 nucleotides) under Anser brachyrhynchus (Pink-footed goose). RNAcentral describes it as "lncRNA (ENSABRG00000001709.1)". Lineage: Eukaryota; Metazoa; Chordata; Aves; Anseriformes; Anatidae. The record is from RNAcentral.
UAUUUCUUCAUUUCACAUUCCCCUGAGACUCCAACAACAACAAGAAGUGAUAUUUUUUGUCCAUAUAAUUUUAGAUUAUUAUUUUUCAGGUGGCGAUAUAUAGAAGCAUGAGCCUCAAUGGUUGACCAGAAAGUAAAGAAACCAAGAACUGAGCCCACAGAAAUAAACCUAAUCCCUAUCCUUUUUUCCUUAGAAGCCAACAGCGUGUUUCCAACAAGGGCUGCUACUGCUGGCUUCCAAAGAUCUCCCGUUCUGGACUGAUUACGCAAAAGCAGCCCCUGAUUGCAGGCACAAGGAAGUUUCCCGUGUGAUGCCCCCAUCUUGGAGCCCUGGUGGAGCCCAGGUGUGCCACAGAGGUCCAACCAACAGAGCGGAAGUGACAGAGAAUCUGCCGUCUCCUCGGGUACGUUGUCCGGUGGUUAAUUAAUUGCCUUAGCUGUUCUGCACCAAGACCUACUCUACUUCUCUGUAGAAAUGCCUUUGGUU